Molecule: ribosomal RNA, 497 nt
Filed under: uncultured bacterium
Lineage: Bacteria
Description: partial 16S ribosomal RNA
Rfam family: Bacterial small subunit ribosomal RNA
Source: RNAcentral
GACGAACGCUGGCGGCGUGCCUAAUACAUGCAAGUUGAGCGAUGAAGCUUGGUGCUUGCACCAAUUUGAAGAGCAGCGAACGGGUGAGUAACGCGUGGGGAAUCUGCCUUUGAGCGGGGGACAACAUUUGGAAACGAAUGCUAAUACCGCAUAACAACUUUAAACAUAAGUUUUAAGUUUGAAAGAUGCAAUUGCAUCACUCAAAGAUGAUCCCGCGUUGUAUUAGCUAGUUGGUGAGGUAAAGGCUACCCAAGGCGAUGAUACAUAGCCGACCUGAGAGGGGGAUCGGCCACAUUGGGACUGAGACACGGCCCAAACUCCUACGGGAGGCAGCAGUAGGGAAUCUUCGGCAAUGGACGAAAGUCUGACCGAGCAACGCCGCGUGAGUGAAGAAGGUUGUCGGAUCGUAAAACUCUGUUGGUAGAGAAGAACGUUGGUGAGAGUGGAAAGCUCAUCAAGUGACGGUAACUACCCAGAAAGGGACGGCUAACUACGUG